CCUACGGGUGGCUGCAGUGGGGAAUAUUGGACAAUGGGGGAAACCCUGAUCCAGCAAUGCCGCGUGUGUGAAGAAGGCCUGCGGGUUGUAAAGCACUUUCGGUUGGGAAGAAAAGUUUGGCGCCAAUACCGCCGAACCUUGACGUUACUGACAGAAGAAGCACCGGCUAACUCUGUGCCAGCAGCCGCGGUAAUAAAGAGGGUGCAAGCGUUAAUCGGGCUCACGUAGGGGAAAGCGUGCGUAGGUGGUGAAAUCCCCGGGCUGAACCUGGGAACUGCAUUCGAUACUACAUGGCUAGAGUAUGGUAGAGGGAAGUGGAAUUUCCGGUGUAGCGGGGAAAUGCGUAGAUAUCGGAAGGAACACCAAUGGCGAAGGCAGCUUCCUGGACUAAUACUGACACUGAGGCACGAAAGCGUGGGUAGCAAACAGGAUUAGAUACCCCUGUAGUC
RNAcentral lists this ribosomal RNA (449 nucleotides) under uncultured bacterium. Its description in RNAcentral is "partial 16S ribosomal RNA". It matches the Rfam family "Bacterial small subunit ribosomal RNA", at positions 338 to 795 of the family's 1533-position model. The record is from RNAcentral.